Phascolarctos cinereus (koala) is the source of this 3886-nucleotide non-coding RNA. Lineage: Eukaryota; Metazoa; Chordata; Mammalia; Diprotodontia; Phascolarctidae. The record is from RefSeq and is a predicted model, not a curated record.
UGAAAAUGAAACAGCGCUCAGGUUUCUCUCUCCCACCGUAGAAAUUUCGAUCAGCUCCUAAUGCAGAAUAUUCACUCUUUGAAACCACUUCUGUCUUUGGAAGCCCUGGGUCAUGAACUUUUUUUGGUUUAUACGCUAUUCCUGACCUUCCUCUUCAGAAGCAGGAAUUUCCCAGCGGGGACCCACACGUCCAGAGGCCUUGAUUGGUUGUAACAAAAGUUCCAGUUCUUGCCUAAGAUGGAUGUCAAACAAAGAUGAUGUAUCGUGGCACGCUGGAAAGAGUGGUACCAUUAUUAGGGAACCCAGAUUCUUAGUGGUCUAUUUUGAAUGGAGCCAGCACCCAGAUGGCAUCGGCUUUAUGAGCUCAGGAUUGGCGGGAAGUCUGAGUUUGUAGGUUGAGCACCAUCUGGUGCACAGAGGUGAUACUGCAACCUUUGGGAAAACCAGUGCCAGUAGUAUCAAAUACCCUGUGAGGAAGGGAAUAGUCCAGUGUGAUACAGAGUAGAGAUGUAUCCUGGAGGGGCCUGAAGAAAGGGUUACCCCAGAAGCAGUAAUUUCUACCCCAGAGGGCCACACAACCUUAUGUGGACCUAGGACAGAAAAAAACCACAUGGCUAAACUCGGAGAGUUUUUGAACCUCGGUCUUCUGGAUGGAAAAAGGAAGAUUUCCUGGACAAUGUGAUCCCAGACUCCCAUCUUCUCAAAAAGAAGGGACAUUUUCUGGGCAGUGUGAGCCUUGGGGGGCAGGGGUCGUCUAUGAAGAAACUAUAGGUUGGAGAGUUUAGGCUUCUAACCUUUUAUGAAAAGAUAAGUUACUGGGUAGCAUUUGCCUGUUCAGGAGAAAAGAAGUUGGCACACAUAUGUGGCUGAAAUUGGGUAAUCAAUAGAGGAGUCUAAACCAUGAUAUGGAGCUGAACUGAUAAUUUAUGAAAUUAUGAAAUGCCUAUGAAAUAGGCACGCCCAGUUCUUUGAAUACUCGCUGGGAAAGAACGCAACUGGCAAUAGGGAAUGGAGUGGCGAUAACACUUUAAUUAGGCACAGGGGGUACUGAGACAAGAGGUGAAAGGGGUACAAAGACAGAUGGCAUGGUGAAGGUACAGGGGAUAGAAGGGUGAAGGGAGGCAGGCAGUGAUGUAGAAGAGGAGAGGGAGGAGGAGAGGCACAGAUAAUUACUUAUGUAUGUGGUUUAGAGUUUGGGAGCACUGAACAGCACAGACCCAAUGGAGAUGGAAAAGUAUUGGUGGGUAGCUGGGGGCAGGAGGUUGAGGUUUCAUUUUUAUGGUUCUUUAGGAGAAAACAGACUAACUCUUAUCUGUACCAUGUUGGGGUUUGUUCACUAACAUAUCCAAAUCAUCUCAAAGUUAUUAGCACUUUUUCGAUGUUCUGCCAGUUUGGAACUGUGAAAGUCUGAGGUUUACAAAUCGCAUGUGCUGCUGUCAGUGCAUAGAUGAUUUCUGCUGAUUCAGCACAUGUUACCAGGAUGUGAAUUUUGGUUAAUAUAUGAUACAAUUUGUAAAGUAUGCUCCUUUGGUCUUUGGGGACUUCCCAAUUAUUUCCUCUUUGUAAUCUUACUUCCUCCUAAGUGCUCCUUUAUUCUGGCUACUUGUAAACUUGCUAUACUGACUAGACGGAGAGGGAGUAGUCAGGGGGAUCAGAACAAGUCGCAAUUUUAACACAGGGACAAAAAGAUCUGGGCUUUGUUCCUAUUCAUACUAUGAGUUAUUUGGUCAAUACAGGUCAGGUGGGAAGAAGGUUGCCUGUUGCAUCCCCAAGUUCAUUUCCUUAUGGGGGACUCCAGCUCUCCCUAUGUAUUAGCAUAAGGCUGGAUGAUUUAUAGGUUCCUGAGAUAGAAUAGGACUCACCAGCUUGUCGGAUGGGGGGGUGCUCUGUGAGUGAUACCUAGCUUAUUUCUCUUCUGUGAGUCUAAAACACAAGGUGAAGUUCUAAAUUUGAGAGACUUUAGGGCUCAGUAUGGGGAAGUGGGGAGGAAUGGGAGCCACUGGAAAGUGAAGUGAAUUGCAUUAAUUAUUUAUGAGCUACUGUGAUUCUUUUAUGCAUUUUAUGUAUUUCUGUGGAGUGGAACAAAGGUCGUCUUGUACUCAAUAUACAUUAUUGUCUUAAAUACUUAAAUAGGACUUAGAGACCUUUUAACCCACAUAGGAUAGGAGGUGCAAUGCAAUCUUGGGCAGUCCCAAAGAUUGAACCUAAUCCAUUGAUGCCUGGAGGUUGAAUCUUAGGCCACUGGUUACAUCGUGGGCACAGUGAGUUAGGAUACUUGUCUAGAAUUGUGUUUCAUUCUGUCUGUUUGUUUUCCCCAGUAGUACUACUUGUCCUAGAAUGACAUGAGAAAAAAGAGUUCAAGAGAAAUUCCUCAAUAUGUACCAUAAGCAUUACCUCAUUUGAUUCACAUAACCCCAAGGUGUAGACAAUAGGGGUAUGGAGCGAAGAUAUGCAGCUACAAUCCUCAGCUUGUUUGAGAUGCAGAGGGGCAAUGUAAUUGGUGAAUGCUCCCUGGGAUAGAACUGGAUUUUAUUUGAUAGUGUGAGAAAUGAUUCUCUCUUAUAUUUAAUAACUAAUUAUUGUAUUGUGACCAAGGUUUUUUCCCUUUUCCACUUCCUCAUCUAGAAAUCAAUCUGUGUGAAAAAUCUUUCUGAAAGAUUUACCCAGUCUUAGAACUAAUCAGACAUUAAAAGAAAUUUUUAAGUUUAGGCUAAUGGGUGCAUUCCUGCUCAUUGUGUUUACUCAAACAGGUCUGGGAAAGUGUUGAUUCUUCCUUUUAUCAGACGGGUGAAAUGGAAAUUGAUAAGUCUCUUUGACCAAGAUUUGGCUGAUCCAAGUCAUAUGUGUGUGUGUGUCUAUGUGUGUAUGUCCAAGUCAUGUAAUAUAGCUCAGCCCCUCAUUGUAAUAUUCGUUUUCUCAUUGUUAACCAGAGUUGCUUGCCACCCCUCAGGAACACCUACUCUUCCAAGAGCAUAUAAAGUGUGAGCCCAUCACCAUAAAGGGUCUUUGGUCUAAGAGAGAUGUCCAAAUGACCAUCCUUUUAUUAAUAAACAUAAUGGCAUUAUUAAUAAAAUGAUUAAAUUACCCAGAAACUAUUUCUCACAGACUUUUUAAAUGCCACAAUAGACUUGUGGAGAAAUGCAAUGCAGGAUAUUCUCCCUUCAUUGUGGGUCUUUGAAGAUGAAAUCAAGAGGAAUUUGGGAGGCUACCAUGAUGGUUAGGGCUGUGUCUUCACCCUGUAUACUGUGCUAGAUUUAUGACACUACCGCAGUGCUGUGUUAAGGGUGAGCCUCUGGAGCAUUUUGUGGGGAUUUUGUUUCGGUGUGGGAUGGAAGGAAUAGAUCAAUGCAUAGUAAAGCUUCUGAUCCUGGGAGAAAUGGUCCCCAAAUCCUAGAAUUAGCAUCGUGCUGUGUAACCGUCACCUCUGAAUAUUACUGCAGUGUCUUCAGUGUUUUGUAAUGUCGUUGUGAGUUAACUGCAUGCAUUCAUUUCUGUUUCAUAGAAAGAUAGUCUAAAAAUGAGAUUGGUUUACCUAGCAUCAAGAACAUAAGAAAGAGACACAUGCCAUGGAAAGGGAUUUCAACAUGGCACAGUAGAAAGGAUACUAGAUUUGGAGUCCCAGAACCUGGGAUUGCCACUUGAAAUCAGUGUGACAUUGGGCAAGUCAUUCAAACUCUUAUGACUUUAGUUUCCUCAUAUAUAAAAUGAUGGGAUUGGGCUAAAGGACCUAAUAAGAUUUUUUUCUCCAUAGCUUUAAAUAUAAUAUUGUAUGAUCCUUUGGGAAAGACCAAGAUUGCAAUAAAAUGGAAUGUACAGCUUACUAGAGGAAAUUAAUGAUUCUGCAUCUAAUUACCUUUUAUCUAAUCCAAUUAAAUGGUUUUAAUGA